UACGUAGGGGGCAAGCGUUGUCCGGAAUUAUUGGGCGUAAAGCGCGCGCAGGCGGUUUCUUAAGUCUUGUGUUUAAGCCCGGGGCUCAACCCCGGCUCGCAUGGGAAACUGGGGAACUGGAGUGCAGGAGAGGAAAGUGGAAUUCCACGUGUAGCGGUGAAAUGCGUAGAGAUGUGGAGGAACACCAGUGGCGAAGGCGACUUUCUGGCCUGUAACUGACGCUGAGGCGCGAAAGCGUGGGGAGCAAACA
RNAcentral lists this ribosomal RNA (250 nucleotides) under uncultured bacterium. Its description in RNAcentral is "partial 16S ribosomal RNA". It matches the Rfam family "Bacterial small subunit ribosomal RNA", at positions 524 to 774 of the family's 1533-position model. The record is from RNAcentral.